AGGAGUGUAGCUUGGUGGUAAAGUGCCUGCCUGGCAUGCACAAGGCCCUGGGUUCAAUCCCUAGGAUCCUA
This 71-nucleotide transfer RNA is filed under the name Fukomys damarensis (Damara mole-rat). It matches the Rfam family "tRNA". Rfam says of the family: Transfer RNA (tRNA) molecules are approximately 80 nucleotides in length. The record is from Rfam by way of RNAcentral. Lineage: Eukaryota; Metazoa; Chordata; Mammalia; Rodentia; Bathyergidae.